GCCCCCAACAGACUAUUGGGUUGAUAGGCCGGAGGUGUACAGCAGCAAUGCCCAGCCGACCGGUACUAAUAGGCCGAACACUUGCCACACAA
Molecule: ribosomal RNA, 92 nt
Filed under: Nocardioides immobilis
Lineage: Bacteria; Bacillati; Actinomycetota; Actinomycetes; Propionibacteriales; Nocardioidaceae
Description: partial 23S ribosomal RNA
Rfam family: Bacterial large subunit ribosomal RNA
Source: RNAcentral